UACGGAGGAUGCAAGCGUUAUCCGGAAUGAUUGGGCGUAAAGCGUCCGCAGGUGGCAAUGUAAGUCUGCUGUUAAAGAGUCUAGCUCAACUAGAUAAAAGCAGUGGAAACUACAUAGCUAGAGUACGUUCGGGGCAGAGGGAAUUCCUGGUGUAGCGGUGAAAUGCGUAGAGAUCAGGAAGAACACCAGUGGCGAAGGCGCUCUGCUAGGCCGUGACUGACACUGAGGGACGAAAGCUAGGGGAGCGAAUGGG
RNAcentral lists this ribosomal RNA (253 nucleotides) under uncultured bacterium. Its description in RNAcentral is "partial 16S ribosomal RNA". It matches the Rfam family "Bacterial small subunit ribosomal RNA", at positions 524 to 776 of the family's 1533-position model. The record is from RNAcentral.